UGAGGACCUGAGGUCGUAGGUGGAUC
Molecule: non-coding RNA, 26 nt
Filed under: Homo sapiens (human)
Lineage: Eukaryota; Metazoa; Chordata; Mammalia; Primates; Hominidae
Source: RNAcentral